UACGUAGGUGACCAGCGUUGUCCGGAUUUACUGGGCGUAAAGGGCGCGCAGGCGGUCGUUCAAGUCGAGUGUGAAAGCCCCCGGCUCAACUGGGGAGGGUCACUCGAUACUGAUCGACUUGAAGGCAGGAGAGGGAAGCGGAAUUCCCGGUGUAGUGGUGAAAUGCGUAGAUAUCGGGAGGAACACCAGUGGCGAAGGCGGCUUCCUGGCCUGUUCUUGACGCUGAGGCGCGAAAGCUAGGGGGAGCAAACGGG
RNAcentral lists this ribosomal RNA (254 nucleotides) under uncultured bacterium. Its description in RNAcentral is "partial 16S ribosomal RNA". It matches the Rfam family "Bacterial small subunit ribosomal RNA", at positions 524 to 776 of the family's 1533-position model. The record is from RNAcentral.